AUGGCCGCUCCCACCGCCUGCCGCCGUCUGUCCAUCCCAGCUCUAGUGCUGCUGUGCGUUUCACUUCUCCAGCUUGCCCAAGCAAGGCUCCUACCAGAGGACAAAAACGCACUUGAUGACAGCAAGUCGUUCUCCAUCAAAGGUGGCGGCGGGGAGGGUGGUGGCCGGGGCUUCGGUGUGAGCGUAGGCCGUGGCGGGCACGACGUGUCCAUCGCUGUUGGCGGUGGGCUUGGAGGCGGAGCUGGCACUACCCGUGGUGGCGGUGCGAGUGCCGGCGGUGGCGCGGGUGCGGGGGUUGGCAUUGACGUGGGGCGUGGUGGUGUGGAUGUGGGGAUCGGCGGAGGUGGGGGUGGGGCCGGUAGCUCCGGCGGUGUGCGUGCAAGAGGUGGGGCUGGAGGCGGUGUCGGUGUUCACAUCGGGCGUGGUGGGGUGAGUGUGAGCAACGGAGGAGGCGGUGGUGUUGGAGGUGGAAGCGGGGGCAGCAGCGAUGGCAGCUCCGGUGGUGGUAGUGGCGUUGGCCGUGCUGGUAAUGCGGUGGGCGGUGGCGGAGGGUCUGGUAGCGCAAAUGGUUCUGCCGGAAGCGGAGGGGGUAGUGGAGUUGGGUCGGCCAGUGGAGGUGUCGCCGGGGGCUCCGGCAGUGGUGGUGGCCAAGGUUGA
Molecule: ribosomal RNA, 657 nt
Filed under: Triticum aestivum (bread wheat)
Lineage: Eukaryota; Viridiplantae; Streptophyta; Magnoliopsida; Poales; Poaceae
Description: partial small subunit ribosomal RNA
Source: RNAcentral